GACAGACGGGGAUAGAGACGUUAGCCAAAGCAGGCUUCCCGAUUAAAAAAAAAUCUCAUUUUCCCCCCAGGGCUGCCAAAUUUAGCAAAGUGCCAUUCCAGCUGCAGUGCUUCCAAGCCGCCUCAGAUCAUCGUAACUUCACAUUCCCCGGGGAACACUCAAGGAAAUGACCUUCUCGCACCUAUUUCCUAUGCAGUCUGAUCACUCAAACUUGGCCAGGGAGGCCUGGCCUCCAGUGUUUGGCAUCUGAGACUCAGGACCCCUUAAGAUAAGCUGAUGACAUCUUGCUCCCAGGAUCCCUCACCAUGAGAAAAGGGAGCCACAAAUAGGAGUUAGAGAUAUAAAAAGAAGGGAAAGAAAAAUUACUGGAAAAAGCUGGAUUUGUUCAAAGCGGAAACUGUGCCCUGGCUCCCUUCAUGUCCUCCAUAGCCAUCGUGCUGACAUUCUCCUGCCACAUCCUCCAGAGAUGCAAGCUCAUCGCACCCGUGUUCUUAGAGUCCUGCGAUGAAGUUACUUUGUUAGAAGAUAGAGAUAUUUGUGAAACGGGAAGCCACAAGGAGUUAAUGGAGGAGAGAGGGCUUUAUGCAGAACUGAUUCACAACCUGUGA
RNAcentral lists this long non-coding RNA (608 nucleotides) under Aotus nancymaae (Ma's night monkey). Its description in RNAcentral is "lncRNA (ENSANAG00000038696.1)". Lineage: Eukaryota; Metazoa; Chordata; Mammalia; Primates; Aotidae. The record is from RNAcentral.